This is a non-coding RNA of Marinobacter santoriniensis NKSG1, 182 nucleotides long. The record is from Rfam. NCBI's taxonomy places the organism in Bacteria, Pseudomonadati, Pseudomonadota, Gammaproteobacteria, Pseudomonadales, Marinobacteraceae.
AACUUCCUGGGCUGUUCGCGAUGGUCGGAUACGUCCUCGAGCCGAUGCGCACUACCCAGGUGGCUACUUCAGGGCAUUGUGAGCACGUCCCCUUACGGGGAAAGCCUAAUAUGUCACAGCGGCCACCGACCUUGAACUUUGGGUUCAAGGGCCACAUCCGAUAACGGCAGCCCGGGAAGCUU